AUGAGGUGGCAAGGAAUCUCUGAAAUGUGCUUGAUCCUCUUUGGGAGCCUGAAGCGUGAGUCACUGCUGUGGCUAGAACGUGACUCACUCCUGCCACUCUUUAGGCCCGUGACAGAUCACAGAAAAUUUGACAACAGCUCCCAGUACCUCCCAGCCAGCAUGGCCUGA
RNAcentral lists this long non-coding RNA (168 nucleotides) under Pogona vitticeps (central bearded dragon). RNAcentral describes it as "lncRNA (ENSPVIG00000009964.1)". The record is from RNAcentral. Lineage: Eukaryota; Metazoa; Chordata; Lepidosauria; Squamata; Agamidae.